ACGAGCGACCCGGGCUUGCCCGGUUAGCUAGUGGCAGACGGCUGAGUAACACGUAAGUAAUUUGCCCCGAAGAGGGGGAUAAUCCAGAGAAAUUUGGCCUAAUACCCCGUACCUUUCCUUCCAGCCUGCUGGAUUGAAAGAAAGGUUUCGGCCGCUUUGGGAGAAGCUUGUGGCUUAUCAGGUAGUUGGUGGGGUAAUGGCCUACCAAGCCGAAGACGAGUAACCGGUGUGAGAGCACGAUCGGUCAGAGGGGGACUGAGACACGGCCCCCACUCCUACGGGAGGCAGCAGCAGGGAAUCUUGCGCAAUGGGCGAAAGCCUGACGCAGCGACACCGCGUGGAGGAUGAAGGUCUUAGGAUUGUAAACUCCUUUUAUCAGGGAAGAGAAAGGACGGUACCUGAUGAAUAAGGUUCGGCUAACUACGUGCCAGCAGCCGCGGUAAUACGUAGGAACCGAGCGUUGUCCGAAUUUACUGGGCGUAAAGAGCGCGUAGGUGGUUCGUUAAGUCUCAUGUGUAAUCUCCCGGCUCAACUGGGAGGGGUCAUGGGAUACUGGCAGACUUGAGGGUAGCAGAGGAAAGCGGAAUUCCCGGAGUAGUGGUGAAAUGCGUAGAUACCGGGAGGAACACCAGAGGCGAAGGCGGCUUUCUGGGCUAUUCCUGACACUGAGGCGCGAAAGCGUGGGGAGCGAACCGGAUUAGAUACCCGGGUAGUCCACGCCCUAAACGAUGGAUACUAGAUAUUGGGGGUAUAGACCCCUCCAGUGUCGAAGCUAACGCGAUAAGUAUCCCGCCUGGGGAGUACGGCCGC
RNAcentral lists this ribosomal RNA (810 nucleotides) under uncultured marine microorganism. RNAcentral describes it as "bacterial SSU rRNA". It matches the Rfam family "Bacterial small subunit ribosomal RNA", at positions 66 to 889 of the family's 1533-position model. The record is from RNAcentral.